AGUGAACGCUGGCGGUAGGCCUAACACAUGCAAGUCGAACGGCAGCACAGGAGAGCUUGCUCUCUGGGUGGCGAGUGGCGGACGGGUGAGGAAUACAUCGGAAUCUACUCUGUCGUGGGGGAUAACGUAGGGAAACAUACGCUAAUACCGCAUACGACCUACGGGUGAAAGCAGGGGAUCUUCGGACCUUGCGCGAUUGAAUGAGCCGAUGUCGGAUUAGCUAGUUGGCGGGGUAAAGGCCCACCAAGGCGACGAUCCGUAGCUGGUCUGGGAGGGUGAUCAGCCACACUGGAACUGAGACACGGUCCAGACUCCUACGGGAGGCAGCAGUGGGGAAUAUUGGAAAAUGGGCGCAAGCCUGAUCCAGCCAUACCGCGUGGGUGAAGAAGGCCUUCGGGUUGGAAAGCCCUUUUGUUGGGAAAGAAAUCCAGCUGGCUAAUACCCGGUUGGGAUGACGGUACCCAAAGAAUAAGCACCGGCUAACUUCGUGCCAGCAGCCGCGGUAA
Molecule: ribosomal RNA, 506 nt
Filed under: uncultured bacterium
Lineage: Bacteria
Description: partial 16S ribosomal RNA
Rfam family: Bacterial small subunit ribosomal RNA
Source: RNAcentral